This 76-nucleotide transfer RNA is filed under the name Verrucomicrobiota bacterium. RNAcentral's name for it is "Verrucomicrobia bacterium (freshwater metagenome) tRNA-Phe". It matches the Rfam family "tRNA". From Rfam's summary of the family: Transfer RNA (tRNA) molecules are approximately 80 nucleotides in length. Their secondary structure includes four short double-helical elements and three loops (D, anti-codon, and T loops). The record is from RNAcentral. Lineage: Bacteria; Pseudomonadati; Verrucomicrobiota.
GGCUGGGUAGCUCAGUUGGUAGAGCAGCGGACUGAAAAUCCGCGUGUCGGCGGUUCGAUUCCGCCCCCAGCCACCA